UUCCGGUUGAUCCCGCCGGACCUGACUGCUAUCGGAUUGGUACUAAGCCAUGCGAGUCGUUGUAGCAAUACAAGGCGGACGGCUCAGUAACACGUAGUCAACCUAACCUAUGGACGUGGAUAACCUCGGGAAACUGAGAAUAAACCGCGAUAGAUCAUUAUGCCUGGAAUGGCUUAUGGUUCAAACAAUUUAUUGCCGUAGGAUGGGACUGCGGCCUAUCAGCUUGUUGGUGAGGUAAUGGCCCACCAAGGCUAUAACAGGUACGGGCUCUGAGAGGAGAAGCCCGGAGAUGGGUACUGAGACACGGACCCAGGCCCUAUGGGGCGCAGCAGGCGAGAAACCUUAGCAAUGUGCGAAAGCACGACUAGGUUAAUCCGAGUGAUUUCUGUUGAAGAAAUCUUUUGUCAGUCGUAAAACCACAGACGAAUAAGGGGUGGGCAAGUCUGGUGUCAGCCGCCGCGGUAAUACCAGCACCUCGAGUGGUCAGGAGGUUUAUUGGGCCUAAAGCAUCCGUAGCCGGCUACGCAAGUCUCCGGUUAAAUCCAGCUGCUCAACAGAUGGGCUGCCGGAGAUACUACAUAGCUAGGGAGCGGGAGAGGUAGACGGUAUUCUGUGGGUAGGGGUAAAAUCCACUGAUCCAUAGAGGACCACCAGUGGCGAAGGCGGUCUACCAGAACGCGUUCGACGGUGAGGGAUGAAAGCUGGGGGAGCAAACCGGAUUAGAUACCCGGGUAGUCCCAGCUGUAAACGAUGCAAACUCGGUGAUGCAUUGGCUUAUGGCCAAUGCAGUGCCGCAGGGAAGCCGUUAAGUUUGCCGCCUGGGAAGUACGGACGCAAGUCUGAAACUUAAAGGAUUGGCCGGGGAGCA
Molecule: ribosomal RNA, 868 nt
Filed under: uncultured archaeon
Lineage: Archaea
Description: bacterial SSU rRNA
Rfam family: Archaeal small subunit ribosomal RNA
Source: RNAcentral